UGGAAUCGCGAACCCCUCCCUUUAGCUAUGUCUUCUGAAUAGCUGCUUGCAACCUUGAAGCUCUAGUGGAUUGCCGACCUCGAAAAGAAAUGGAGACAAUUGUUAUUCUCGUGUGCUACAAUGGAAAAUGGGUCACCUCGAAGAAGAUGUGCAAAUACGAAGGGGGUGACU
Molecule: long non-coding RNA, 171 nt
Organism: Prunus persica (peach)
Lineage: Eukaryota; Viridiplantae; Streptophyta; Magnoliopsida; Rosales; Rosaceae
Exons: 2
Source: RefSeq, a predicted model, not a curated record